UACGGGGGGGGCAAGCGUUGUUCGGAAUUACUGGGCGUAAAGGGUGUGUAGGCGGUUGUUUAAGUUUGGUGUGAAAUCUCCCGGCUCAACUGGGAGGGUGCGCCGAAUACUGAAUGACUUCGAGUACGGGAGAGGAAAGUGGAAUUCCUGGUGCAGCGGUGAAAUGCGUAGAUAUCAGGAGGAACACCGGUGGUGUAGACGGCUUUCUGGACCGUAACUGACGCUGAGACACGAAAGCGUGGGUAGCAAACAGG
This 254-nucleotide ribosomal RNA is filed under the name uncultured bacterium. Its description in RNAcentral is "partial 16S ribosomal RNA". It matches the Rfam family "Bacterial small subunit ribosomal RNA", at positions 524 to 776 of the family's 1533-position model. The record is from RNAcentral.